GGGGCAUCAGAAGGGAAAUAUUCGUGGAUUUUUGUUUAGGACUUUUUAUUUAUUUUUCCUUUUUAUUUAGGACGAAUGAUCUCUCCUCCCCUAGUAAUGUGGGCACCUAGAAGUUAUCACCAUCUGAUUGACUCUGUCUUCGAUCCAAACCUGAGCACCUCUAUCUAUCUUUCUGGCCAUUUGAUGGAUAAGGUUGGGAGGCUACCCCUGCAGAAAGGAGUAAAUAAACAUUCCAGCCAUCCUUGAGGUUCCUUGUGAAAAGUGUCAGCCAACAGUAGAACGGAGAAAAAACUAAAGCAAGAGGACUGGUGGGCAGGGGAGAGUCUCCAUGGAAGGUGCUGAGCAGACAGUCGAAGGGGCAUCUGGAGAAACAGAGCAAGUCCAAGUGUGAGUCUAAGGUGCAGCGAAGGUGAGCAGGCCUGGUAGGUGGGGGAGGGCAAGGGGCAGGAGAUGAGUCAGUCAGAGGACAGCUCAGGCAGGGAUUGCAACUCACACCAGGAGUCUGGAUUUUACUCUGAAGGACACCAGGAAGCGCCAGGACACUCUACAGCAUUGUCACUGGAUGGUGGGCCCUGGGGGAAUCUCUGACCUCAGAAUGACCUCAUAUAUUUAAAAGGAUCACACUGACUUCAGUUCAGGGGUAGGGACAGAGCAGGAAGACCGUAUAAGACACUGUUGUGACAUCCUAAGAGCCAAGAUGGGGACACUGAUCUGAACCCUUGCCGCACAGCCUGUGAGAGCUCCUAGGAGCUGAUUUAUCUCUCUCCAGUCCCAC
RNAcentral lists this long non-coding RNA (775 nucleotides) under Fukomys damarensis (Damara mole-rat). Its description in RNAcentral is "lncRNA (ENSFDAG00000022117.1)". The record is from RNAcentral. Lineage: Eukaryota; Metazoa; Chordata; Mammalia; Rodentia; Bathyergidae.